Molecule: long non-coding RNA, 276 nt
Filed under: Homo sapiens (human)
Lineage: Eukaryota; Metazoa; Chordata; Mammalia; Primates; Hominidae
Description: HSALNT0194013
Source: RNAcentral
CAGCACUCCGUCGGCGGCGGCGGCGGCGCGAUGCUGUGCUUCCUGAGGGGAAUGGCUUUCGUCCCCUUCCUCUUGGUGACCUGGUCGUCAGCCGCCUUCAUUAUCUCCUACGUGGUCGCCGUGCUCUCCGGGCACGUCAACCCCUUCCUCCCGUAUAUCAGAUGAAGCCUCACUCUGUCGGCCAGGCUGGAGUGCAGUGGCACGAUCUUGGCUCACUGUAACCUCUGCCUCCUGGGUUCAAGCGAUUCUCCUGCCUCAGCCACCCGAGUAGCUGGG